Homo sapiens (human) is the source of this 1322-nucleotide long non-coding RNA. Ensembl annotates it as long intergenic non-protein coding RNA 460. NCBI's taxonomy places the organism in Eukaryota, Metazoa, Chordata, Mammalia, Primates, Hominidae. The record is from Ensembl.
CCUUCUACCACAUCAUGCUGCAGAAAACACAGCAGAUGGGAAGAGACGAGAGAGACGUAUUUUAAAGAAUUGGCUCGUGGGAUUGUGGGGCCUGGAAAUCUGAAAUCUGCAGAGAAAGCCAGCAGGCUGGAAAUUCAGGAAGUGGCGAGGAAAGAAGAAUGAAGACAAAGAAUAUGGAGUUUCCAUUGAUUUAGCCAAGUCCAUAACAGAAGAAAAGUGCCUUCCUUCGGAACUUCCAAUACAAUGUGUGAGAAUGGACCUGUUACAACUUGUAUUACUCGCAGGGUUCCCCCACUACCAAGAAUAGGGGUGGCCUUAGAAGGCACUCUGAAGCAAGAAUCAGCAAGUGACUGAAUCUAUGAGACUCGUAUUGAUCAGCCUCAAAAGAAAUGAGUCCUACCUUCUCGGUCUCUUAAGAAAUUCAUUCUCUUGAAAAGCAAUUCAAAAAGAGCUUUCCCUAAUACACAUUAGAUAAACAAUGAGAUAUCCUCCUAGCUUUCUCUUGGGAAACUUUCACUUUAUAUCUUUUCAAUUUAUUCUCAUCUUUUUUUUUGUUCCUUCCUUCCCUACUUUUAGGCUUUGUCGUUCAAAAGCUAGCUCGUAGAAUUUUUUUAAAUCUUUGUAUUCAUAUAUCCCUAACUAGAGCAUGAUCUUUUUCUGGCUGGUGGAUCCUCCCCAGAAUGUUUGCAUGUAUUAGGGCUCCAGUGAAUAGGUGUUGGUCAUGAGGAAGGAUGACCAGCUAAGGGAGCUAAUGGCUUAGACAGACACUGUAGAAUUGCAAGGAAUAGAGAUGUGCUCAAGAUACCUUGGUUGGCGAGGUUUAUUGUUGCAGAAACACACUGGGUGGUAGCCAGUCAACCAAGACGGCGGCCAUCAAUUCCUUACCUUUCUUUGUGUACAUGCUGCACCCCAUGACCAAAGGUAGGGCCUUUUUUCUCCUCCCUUGUAUUUCGACUGGCCUCAUACCUUGCUUUCAACAGUGAAAUGUAACAGUGGUGAAGUUGGACUUGUUCCAAGCCUAGACUUUAAGCCUUCUGUUUCCUACUUCUUAGAAGCCAGUCACCAUGCAAGAAGCCUGCCUACCCAGUAACCAGCUGUGAGAAGUCCAAGCUGGCUACACAAAGGGGGGGACACUGAGGUGCCAGACAGGUGGGUAAGGCCUGCCUGAACCUUCCAGCUCUGCCCAACACUCAGCUGAAUGCAGUGAAUCAGCCAGCCCAGCUGAGAACACAGUGAGCAGAGGUUCUGAUCCUGCCUGGAUUCCAGACCCACAGAAUCCAGAGAAAUCAUGUGACUUUAAGCCACUAACUUUUGCAAUAGAU